This 433-nucleotide ribosomal RNA is filed under the name uncultured bacterium. Its description in RNAcentral is "partial 16S ribosomal RNA". It matches the Rfam family "Bacterial small subunit ribosomal RNA", at positions 29 to 507 of the family's 1533-position model. The record is from RNAcentral.
AACGAACGCUGGCGGCAUGCCUAACACAUGCAAGUCGAACGAGACCUUCGGGUCUAGUGGCGCACGGGUGCGUAACGCGUGGGAACCUGCCCUUAGGUUCGGAAUAACUCCCCGAAAGGGGUGCUAAUACCGGAUAAUGUCUUCGGACCAAAGAUUUAUCGCCUUUGGAUGGGCCCGCGUUGGAUUAGCUAGUUGGUAGGGUAAAAGCCUACCAAGGCGACGAUCCAUAGCUGGUCUGAGAGGAUGAUCGGCCACACUGGGACUGAGACACGGCCCAGACUCCUACGGGAGGCAGCAGUGGGGAAUAUUGGACAAUGGGCGAAAGCCUGAUCCAGCAAUGCCGCGUGAGUGAUGAAGGCCUUAGGGUUGUAAAGCUCUUUUACCCGGGAUGAUAAUGACAGUACCGGGAGAAUAAGCACCGGCUAACUCCGUG